Non-coding RNA from Malus domestica (apple), 1786 nucleotides. The record is from RefSeq and is a predicted model, not a curated record. NCBI's taxonomy places the organism in Eukaryota, Viridiplantae, Streptophyta, Magnoliopsida, Rosales, Rosaceae.
UGAUAUAGUGGGAGCAAAUCAAUUUAUGUGUUUGUUCUGGUCAAGUAAAAUCACAUUGUUGUAAAUACAAAUUGGAUGAAUGUGAUCAUGGAAUUUGUUUGCAUAUUGGUUGCAGCAAUUGAUCACAUUGAUAAGACAUUCAAUGUAUUGCAAUGACUGUUAGUUAAUACAGUUGAUAUUAACUUAUACUUAACUUGUUUGUGUUAAGUAUAGCCUAGAUAAGUGGGAGCAAAUUGGUUUGGUUUUUGCUAUAUUGGUUCACAUAAUUACAAAGUGCAAAUUAAGUAUGUUGUGACUUUUGAGUUAAUUCUGCGAUGUAACAGAAAAAAUUCUUAAGUUCAAUACUUUAAAAUGCAUGGGUAAGUUGUAUGUGAGGUUAAGCUUUUGUUAUCCAAAAGAUUUGGUUGCUAUAUGAGUGGGAGUCGACGUCUUGGUUUACUUUUGAGCUUAGAUACAUUGAUAUGAACAUGAACUGGACAUUGUGAUUUAUAAGUUAAAUCUGUAUUUUGUGUUGCAGAGGCAAUUAUAAAUUCAUUGUUUUGGUUUAUGUAAGCUGGUUGUAUCUAUGUACUAGUGUGUUGAUAAAUGACUUAUGUGAUCACCUUUAUAUUGAAUUUGAGAUGAUUAUUUACUGUUGUGAAUCAUACUCAAGUGGGAGAAUGUUAGAGUAUGAGUGUGAUUCUCACAGUUUAGUAAUAAUCAUUGUUAUUUCAGAUUGGUAUAAAGAGGUCUUAAUGUGUCUAUAAGAGUUAAUUCGACUUUGGUUUGGAUUGGAACUCUAUCGUUGGCUUGAGAAUAGAACUCAUACUUGUACAAGGAUUUGGUCUUGUAUUCCUUGUAGGAUUGUAAUAGGGCAAUCUAUGUUUAGUAUAAAAACAUAAGCCACUGCUCUCACAAAAGAUACGCUCAAUAUUGAACUAAGACCUAUUGUUAGUUUGAGUACUUUUGGUUUUGCAAGAGAGGAGAAGGUGCACUGUUUAGAAGUUUGCUUUGGCUUCCACUAUUUUUACGGUCUUACAAUACAACCACCACAUUACGGCAUUCACCACAACAAGGAUCAGACAGUGGAGGAGCUAUUCUACCAUCAUGAGCAUAAUGAGCUUUUGAAGUCGGUCGAAGAAUGGAUAAAAGAAACGGCAGAGUCAUGCUCAACCGUAGCGGUACUAGUGGCCACUGUGGACUUUGCGAUCGCCUACGCUAUCCUACGGAAUGCUGAAGACAAUGAAUACGAAGAAGGGGUUGAACCAACAUUGGAAUUUGUGAUGACAAAGAAGGAGAUAACUGGGAGUGGAGCUCCAAGAGACAGCAGGGCUUUAUUGGAGAAAAAGGUAAAUUAAAAGAUCUCCAAUAUUGGCUAGCGUGAAUCUUGGUAUCUUCACAUGCAUGCAAUGUUCAGGGAUCCACAGGAGUCUUGGGGUACAUAUAUCAAAGGUGAGAUCUGCCACUUUGGAUACAAGGCUCCCAUAGCAAGUUGCAUAUAUCCAAUUCUACUGACUGCAACAGUGACGGCAGAAGUGGAGGAAAUGACGGUGGUAAUUGAGGUGCAAUGGUAACAGUAGAGGCAGCAGGAGGCAAUGACCGUGGUGGCGAAGACAUUGUUGGUUGCAGAGUUGCAGAGUAAGUUUCUAUUGAGUCUCUUGAGAUGUAUUGUAAUUUGUAUUUGUAUAACACCAUAACACUCCUGUGAGAAUAUUUAGCUACUAAUAGAUAAAGGGUAAAUAAUAGUGUCCCGAUAACUGACUAUAAAUUUGAUAUCAAAUCUAAUGAUGGAUAUUUUUUUCAGCCA